UAGGAGUAAUUUGACCCACAGUACUCACAGCAAGCACCUGGAGUGCUCUCCCUCUGUGUAAAGCAAAUCUUCUGACUUCAUCGAUUUUGUACUUGGUAUGAUGUUUUGCCUUCCACAGACCUCUUUUGCUUUUAAAAGUGAAGGUGUUAGAUAAGUCCCUUUGGAAAAAGUGAGGUGUUAUGCUAUUAAAUUGAAUUUCCUUUUGCUAUCAGUAUUUUCUGUGCUAAUAGAAAGUCUAGCUGAAGAGUGAAAAAAGAGAUAGUGGAGGUAGUGUGCACUGUAACCAUAUUUGUUGCAGGAGUGAAUAAGACAGCUUGCAAACCCAUGAAUUUAAAUAUUACCCUGACUACAUUGCACAUGUUCUGGCCAUAGUCUCACUACCUCUUGCUCUGCUUCAGGCAAAUGGAAUUGAUAGCAGGGGUUACUUCAGUGAUUCUCAGAUUUUUCUCCCAGAGUCAGCCCUGACAACAUUUUUAGGAAUGCAAAUUCUCUGUCCCACUCUAGACCUAUUGACUCAGAACCGCUGGGGGUGGGCCCAGCAUCUGUGGUGUAACACUCCCUCCAGGUAAUUCUGAUGAGACUCCCAGCCUAUUGUAGCUCAAGCCUGAUUACAUGUUAGAUUCACCUGUGGAGCACCCUGCCCCAUCAAGUAUUUUAAGAUAAAAACAAAAAUAGCAACAAAACCAAAACACCCCAGCUGAUUUCAGUGUAAACAAGUAUUGAAACCUAUUUCUCUAGACCUUGCUUCCAGGCACAAAGCAAAGUCACUUAAAAGUUUUCAUUUUAACAGGCUUCCAUGAAUCAGAGUAGCUCCCUUUUAGCAUCUGCGGUUCCCAAACUCCUUCACUGUAAUCCUUUACUGCUUAUUUCAGUCUGAAAGGCCUCUGUAAAAUGCAAAUGUUACCUAUGAGGAAUGACACUUGGAAUUAGUAUAGACUGAUAGAUUUUUUUUUUUCCUACUAACUUAGCAGUUCUUCUCUAGCAGUGCUUCUCAAACAUCACAUCUGGAUGACUAGUCAAGGAAAGGUUGCUAUACCCACCUCUAGAGUUUCUCAUUCUGAAGGUCUGCAGAGGGCUCAGUAAUUUUCAUUUGUAACAAAUUACAGGUGAACUGGCUGUGCAGGCCCUGGGACUAUAAAAAACAGUGCUUUGAGGGAAGGAGCUUCCUGAGGAACGGGGUUUGCAGGAUGUUGCGGAGAGAAGCGUUUGCACUACUCUUCCCCAAAGGAAAGGCCUGAGCAUCACAGAGACCCCCAGAUCAUGAAGAAAUAGAAGGGCAGCUCUAAGUCAGUCACAGUUAAUCUGGUAUCAUAAGAUCAGUGUUAGAAUGUUUUAUCUAUGAUUUUUAACAGAUUUUAGCUAGUAUUUUCCAAAUCUUAAUGUGCAGCAGAAUAGUUAUAGAAGCUUGUUAAUAAACCCAGAACUUGGGCGUCAUCUCUGCAAUCUCUUUGCAAGACAUCUCGGAUAAAGCGCAGGAAUAAGCAACCUGGGUAAGUUUGUUGUAAAUGGUCUUUUAUGUAUUUGUUUGGAACUCUUUAUUCACCAGAACUGAGGGCCUGUAUUACUAUUUUUUUAUGAAACAUAUCUGGAGAUUUAAUCAUAAAAAAUAUUCUGUGAGUUGUUCUGGUAUACUUUUGCUUUGCAUUCAGAAUGACCUCUACCACUUCUAAAUUGUGGUGUCCUUGUUUGAAAAUCAUUCAGUGAACUCCUUAAAAACCUGAAGAUCAUAUGCUUAUAUAUUAGGCAUUUUUAUAUGAUAGAACUGUCAAAUUCAUCUAAAUUCAGGAGACAUGAGGGGCCCUGCUGUAGGUCCUCUAUUCACAAUUGUAGAAAUGCAUUUGGAUGAGGAAGAGCACGUGGGGAAAGGGCCUGGGGCUUCAUUCUAAGGAAUUCCAGUAACUGUUAGCUUUCCACAUAAUAAUAGCUACUGUAUUCCUGCCAUGCUGAUGGAAAUCUCUAAAGAUCGGGGUGUUGUCAACUCUUAUGGUUUGAAAACACCCAGGCACUUCUAAAAAAAUAUCAGCAGUUGUUGUUAGAGUUUUAUUGUCUUGUUCCUUUUGUAAACCCUAGUUUAAGACCCAGGGUAAUACAGGAUAGUAGCAUGCUUAAAAUGAACCUUGAAUCUUCCUGCACAGGAAAAAGGGUUGCUUUUUCCCAGGUGCCCUCAAGGAUAGUUAGGGAUGGUUACUCAGUUAUAAACAGGGAUGAUGCUGUAAGAGAUGUAGGUGGCAUAUUUAAAUCUUUAGGAAAAUUAGAAAAGUCAUUAUAAAAUCUGCUCACUGGGAAGAAAGGAGGAGUAUCGUUCUUCAAGAACCUUUAGCUUUUUUUAAAAACAAGUUGAGUGAAUAACCCAUUGUAGCAAAGUACUACUGGAUUACCCUACUAUCUAGAAAGCUAUUGACUUCCAUCAAGAAACCAUGAGAGGUAGCAGUUGAGGACAUUUAAAAAGUAUAUGCAGGAAUAUCUGGUGCUUAAAGAAUAUAUGCAUCUAUUGUUAAACUUAAUAUUUUAUAUAGGCUAAAAUUCCAUGUUUCACUAAGUGUUAUUGAUAAUGCCCACGGAAUGAUCCAUCUUGUUGGGUGUGGUGUUCUGGAGAUUUUCCUUUAAAAACAUUUCCCCAUAUGCUUAGUCUGUACUUUCACUGUAUUAAAAGUUGUAAAACUGAAAUGAGCUUGUAGGCAGUUACUUAAAAGGAACAGUGUGUUGAGGUCACUGCACAUAUUGAUUUAAACUAGGCUGGCUCACAUGUUGUUAGGCUUGGGGAAUGUUUUCUCCUAUGAGAAAAUGGUGACGUUUAUUCAGACAUUCAAGCUUGUCCUCAUCUUUGGUUCCUGUAUUUAGCAGAGAGAGCAUGGGAACAGAGGUAGCUGGCUGUCAGAGAACGUUGCCAGGUUUCAGGGUCUCUAAAGAAAUGUCUUGAGUAGAACACUCCAGAAUAUUUCCUAAUUUUAAAGCUAUAAAACAGUUAGUAUUCUGCUCAGGCUGAUAGGCAGUUCCUGUAAUCACGCUGUACUAGGUGUUAUACUACAGAAGGCAUAAAAAUUGCUUUAAGCAGUAUGUUUUCCUUUCUGGCAUUUAGGAGAAACUAAACGUGGAAAGAUGUGAAUGUCCCUCUGAAUUUGCUUGUUUGGUCUAGGAGAGGGUUAUUUGUUAAGAUCAUGGAGAUGCUUUUAUGAAUGGUACUUUAUAAAAUGAAAAAAAUAUUACUACCUCUCUUUCUGUUACUGUUACUCUUUUUCCAGCAAUAAUACACUUCUGAUCUUGGUGUAAAUGUCAUAUUGUGUGAAUAUGCAAACAUCACAUCCGCCUACAUAUGUUCUGUUGCUUAGUAAUUCUUGGCACUGGCACAUCAUGAAUUCUGUGCCUAAUAAAUGAGAUAUCCAUCAGAAUGAAAAAUGAACUAUGUUGGUCUCUUGAAUAUGAUAUUGAUCUUUCAGAUUUUAGUUGUGAAAAAGUUGGCUGCAUGCUAGUAAAGAAAUUUGGAAGGGAAUUAAGUUUAAGAGUAGGAUUUGUUAACUUGUUCAUCAAAUAAGGCUUAUAACAUCUAAUACUUUUCCCUAGACCUGGGCCAAUAUUUCAAAGCAUUUAUUUAAAGAUUUACAGAUUCCGGAUACAUAGAUAAAGUUUUUUCAGAAAAAAUUUACUCCAAAGAGUCUGUAAAAUUCUCCUUUUUAUAGUACAUACUCGAGCAACUUCCGGAAUGAUGCCUUGAAGAUCAAUGAAUUGUCUUCAUUAAUUAGUACUAUUAUUUCGGUCAUCUUUUCAACUCUUAGCCCAUAUCCUUUUCUGUAAUGUCUACUCAUAAAUCUCUGUAAAAAGAUAAAAGGGUACAAUUUGAUAAAUUAUAUGCAUACACCCUUGAAACCAUCACCACAAUCAAGAUAAUAAACAUAUCCAUCACCCCCUAAAAGUCUCCCUGUGUUUCUUUGCAAUCCCUCUCUCCCACCCAUUGCAGCUCUCCCCUAUGCCCUCCCCAGGCAACCACUGAGCUACUUUCUGUCACUAUUGUCAAACACAAAUUGUCUAGAAUUGUUACGUCUAUGAAUUCAUACGGUAUAUACUCUUUUGCUUGGCUUCCCCACUAAGCAUGACCAUUUUGAGAUUCAUUCACACUGCAGCACAUGGCAAUGUUUCAUUCUUUUAAUUGCUAAGUAGUAUCCCAUCAGAAGGAUUUGAUAGAGAUAGGUUGUCAGCUUUGAAUCAUCAAAUUAAAUUAUAUAUGUCUAUUAAUAUAAUUUUAGAUUUUUCUGAAUUUGAGAGACACUGUCUCUGCCCCAAGUAAUUAAAACGCAUUUCUUUAAUGAGGACUUUGAAUCCACCAAACAGGGUACCAGAUGUAAUACUCUAUUUGUAUGUCAUUCCUUCACUCCUAGAUGUUCAUUUUAACAUGAGUAUUUUCUCAGUUCUUACCUCAUGCUAAAAACUGAGGAUAUAAAGUUUUUGAAAAGUCGCUCUUUUCACUUAGGAGCUCACACUUCUGUAAGAGAGACAGACAUACUUUGAUCUUAACAGUAGAUGUUUGGACAGAGGAACCAAGAAAAGUUAGAUAGCACAUGAUAAAGGAGGUAUUAGAAUCAGUUCCAAAGGAGGACAAGAAUCAAUUAAAUGUUUUGAAUCACAGUCUUCCCCAAGAGGAAGGAGGGCAGGGUGUUUCCAUUCCUCCUCAAAUCAAGAGAAGGGAUGUAAAGAGACCACUAAGAAUUUGAGACAAGAAUCUUGGGAGUUUCCGUCAUGCCUCAGUGGUUAACAAAUCCAACUAGGAACCAUGAGGAACCAUGAGGUUGCGGGUGCAAUCCCUGGCCUUGCUCAGUGGGUUAAGGAUCUGACACUGUGGUGAGCUGUGGUGUAGGUCACAGGUGCAGCUUGGAUCCCACAUUGUUGUGGCUCUGGCGUAGGCCGCUGGCUACAGCUCUGAUUAGACCCCUACCCUGAGAACCUCCAUAUGCUUCCAGAGCAGCUCUAGAAAAGACAAAAAGACUAAAAAAAAUUUAAAAAAAAAAUUUUAAAAAAUUGUGUUUUAUUGAUGAGUACAGAGUAUACUGCCUGGAAAACUGGAACAGUAAGAUGUAUACUUCAACUCCCUGAGUUUGAGAGGGUGUCAGUGGAUCAGCUGUCAACUACACCAUGGGAUGAAACCAACAUACAGCCACUUUAAUUCAUUAAGUAUGUAUUUUAUAGCCCUUAACUCAGGAGAAUAUGGAAUAAAAAUGAGUGAUGUUUUAGUAGCCAAGUUAUUUAUUACUUCAGCUGAAACAUGGUGCUUCUAUGUCCUUACCUUGACCUCAGUAAUGCUGCUCUUCUCUUUUGCUUCACACGCAGUCUCUUAGGUAUUUUACCUUCACUCAUAGCUUCAGCUACCAACUAUGUGGUGAUAGCUUUUAAGGUUUUAUAUAUGUACUCUGGAUUUAUAUCUAAUCACAUAUGUGACCUUUUCAACUGGCUUUCUAAUGGGUACUUGAGAUGUCCAGAUAAACUUAUUUUUUUUAAACCACUGUUCUUACUUAUAUAUUAAUUGUGUCAUCUCAAGUAGAUGAUGCAAUUAUCUACUCAUUUGCUACCAAAUCUAUAAUGGGAGUCUCCCUAGAUACUUCAGUUAUACCUUCACCCUUCAUGUCCUAUAAAUUACCAUGUAGCAUUAGGUUUAUCAUCAUUCAUUCCUGUUUGUCAUCAUUACAACUAGCAUAGUUCAGACUUUUCAUCACUUGUGUACACUCUCACUUAACUUUCCUGCCUCCAUUCAUGUCUCACUAAAAUUUAGCUUUAGUGAAAUAUCUAGAUAUUCUUUUACUAAAAUAAAAAUAGGAUCAUGUCAUUCCCUUGACUAAAAUCCUUUAACAGUGUCUUAAAAUCCAAGCUUUGAAAUGUAGGAAAUAAUUGGUUCCUUGAACUUUCUCCUGCCUACACUCUAGCCAUAUCUGUUGCCCUCUGCCUUUGAUUUAAUGUUCAUGAAACAUAUAAACUGUCUGUAAUUCCCACUUAUAUCAUACUGUAUCUCCCUUAAGUGUCCCUGUUCUUGUGCUAUUUUCUCUGCCAGGAAUGCCCUCUCCACUGCUAUUCAUAUUUUAAACAUAGCCAUUCUUGCUAUGAAGCUUUCACUGAAUGCCGCAUGUAGGGUGAUGAAACUUACUCUAAAUAUUUUUUGUAUCUUUUGUACUAUCAAAAUAUUUAUCAUAUUGAUGCAUCUCGUUUCCCUGCUGAAUGUUAGUUUUUAAUUUCCAGUGCAUAACAAGGUCAUUGGUGUAUUGGAAGUAUUAGAUGAAUGAUUGAAUAAAUGGCUGCUAGUCCUGCUUGGUAGUUUAUACUCUACAUAUACACCUUCUAUGAAGGGAGACACAGAUGAUAUUUGAAGUAGGUCGCAAAGGCAGUCUAGAUUGUUGAUCAGAUUGAAUAUGCUAGUAUCAUGAUGGAGGCGGGUUUUUGAAGAAUUAUAAUUUUUAAAUUAGUGGUAAUAUGGUUAAAAAGGGAUGUAAGGGUGUUAAGAACAGGAGAUUUUAGCAGUUUUCCAAGAUGAUUACACUUAAAGUGGGAGUGGAAAAGGAAAUAAAUAGGUUUGAAAGAUACCAUCAGGGGAGUUCCCACUGUGGCACAGCGGAAAUGUAUCCGACUAUAUCUGAGGGCAAAUGUUGGACCUCUGGCCUCGCUUAGGAUCUGGCAUUGCUGUGAGCUGUGGUGUAGGUCACAGAUAUGGCUCGGAUCCUGCGUUGCUGUGGUGCAGCUCCAAUUCAAUUUAGCUCUUAGUGUGGGAACCUCCAUAUGCUGCAGGUGUGGCCU
This 6771-nucleotide long non-coding RNA is filed under the name Sus scrofa (pig). RNAcentral's name for it is "lncRNA (ENSSSCG00000061311.1)". The record is from RNAcentral. Lineage: Eukaryota; Metazoa; Chordata; Mammalia; Artiodactyla; Suidae.